GAUGAACGCUGGCGGCGUGCCUAAUACAUGCAAGUCGAGCGAACAGACGAGGAGCUUGCUCCUCUGACGUUAGCGGCGGACGGGUGAGUAACACGUGGAUAACCUACCUAUAAGACUGGGAUAACUUCGGGAAACCGGAGCUAAUACCGGAUAAUAUAUUGAACCGCAUGGUUCAAUAGUGAAAGACGGUUUUGCUGUCACUUAUAGAUGGAUCUGCGCCGCAUUAGCUAGUUGGUAAGGUAACGGCUUACCAAGGAAACGAUGCGUAGCCGACCUGAGAGGGUGAUCGGCCACACUGGAACUGAGACACGGUCCAGACUCCUACGGGAGGAAGCAGUAGGGAAUCUUCCGCAAUGGGCGAAAGCUUGACGGAGCAACGCCGCGUGAGUGAUGAAGGUCUUCGGAUCGUAAAACUCUGUUAUUAGGGAAGAACAAAUGUGUAAGUAACUAUGCACGUCUUGACGGUACCUAAUCAGAAAGCCACGGCUAACUACGUG
RNAcentral lists this ribosomal RNA (497 nucleotides) under uncultured bacterium. RNAcentral describes it as "partial 16S ribosomal RNA". It matches the Rfam family "Bacterial small subunit ribosomal RNA", at positions 28 to 507 of the family's 1533-position model. The record is from RNAcentral.